RNAcentral lists this ribosomal RNA (589 nucleotides) under Anodonta anatina. RNAcentral describes it as "partial 16S ribosomal RNA". The record is from RNAcentral. Lineage: Eukaryota; Metazoa; Mollusca; Bivalvia; Unionida; Unionidae.
GCAGAAAAUUAAAAUUUUACCAACAAACCUUAAAGAAAAUUUUCACUAUAUAAAGUAUUUUUUAAAAAAUUCCUAAAUUAACCAACCGCAAGGAACAACAUUCAGCUUUCUCAAGAAAUGAUAACCUCAUGUCCCUCUUGCAUCAUGGAGAAGCAACAAAACUAUAAUAACUUAUAUUCCCGAAUGAUUAUGAGCUACUAAACCCUAAAAAUCAAUGUUUCAUAAUUGAUAUAGUAACUUUUAGUAGAAGUAACAAGCCUUUCAUAUAAUCAUAUAGCUGGUUUUUCUUCAAAAGCAUCAAAGUGCUGGCUUAUAGAAUAAGCCCAGAGCCUCUAACCUAUAAAGCUUAACCUAUUGAGGACUAGCUCAAUAGGGCAUAAAAAAUAUUUUAUCCCUAAUCCCCACAAGUAGGCUUAAAAGCAGCCACCUAAUAACGUUUUAGUUAUUGAGAAUUUAUAUUAAGUAUUAAUACAACACAAUUUUAAAACUAAAGAAAUUUAACAAAAAAUUUUUCUGUUACUAAACAGGCAUUCUAUUAGUAUUUAAUAUAAGUCUAUUACUCAACAUUCCUCAAAAAAUUUGAAUCAAA